This is a long non-coding RNA of Passer montanus (Eurasian tree sparrow), 255 nucleotides long. RefSeq lists it as uncharacterized. The transcript has 3 exons. NCBI's taxonomy places the organism in Eukaryota, Metazoa, Chordata, Aves, Passeriformes, Passeridae. The record is from RefSeq and is a predicted model, not a curated record.
CGAGCCGCCCACGCUGCGCGGGCGUGCGGACAGACAGACUCACAGACAGACACACGCACACACGGGGAAUGCAAGUCCUACGAAGCUGCAAACCAGCUGCCUGUGCACAAGGACAAGAACAAGAUGCCAGGGACAACUAAAUACCAGAAGUUUUAAAACAAAGGAAUACCGUUAGAUAUUCUGCUAUCAUCACUUCUGAUUUGUACACUGGAAUCAGCAAAUGAAUGCAGACUGGUAGCCAACUGCCUUGCUGAG